Sardina pilchardus (European sardine) is the source of this 1593-nucleotide long non-coding RNA. RefSeq lists it as uncharacterized. The transcript has 3 exons. NCBI's taxonomy places the organism in Eukaryota, Metazoa, Chordata, Actinopteri, Clupeiformes, Clupeidae. The record is from RefSeq and is a predicted model, not a curated record.
UGGACGGCCCAUUGAAAUAUGGUUCGAUUUCGAACCAUGACGUGUUCGCCGUGUUUGAAUCACGCAUUUAACCUCACCGAUGAAAAAAACUAUGUAGAUACGUUGUCAACAGCUAGCCAAUCACUGUCAAGUAGUUUAGUUCGUUUUGAUAGCCUAUUGGCUUAGUUUUAUGUCAUUUUACAUCUUGUGAUUGCCCCGCCUCCGAUACUUCCGCGUUCAGCUCAUUCGCGGCUGUUCAAUGAAUAAACAUGUCGGACCAUACAUAUCGACAAGUCCGUUUUUCAGCUGCUGAGGUGGCAGAAAUGUGUUGUCAACACAUAAAUGAUGACAAUAGCAGUGAAGACAGUGAAAUAGGUGGCUUAUCUAGUGGAAAAGAGUACAAGUUGGACCGUGAACUGGAUGAAGACUUUCGUGACUCUGACUCCGACGACGACUAGCUGCUACGGCGACAACAACACAGAAAGCCUAAUGACAUUUAAACUCAACAUUCUCCUGGUUCUGCCACCGACUCAGAGGAGGAUGACCCUGACCCUUGAACCUGAAAGGACCAGAAGGAAUGCCAGAACGACCGUGCCCAGGGAGAGCUGCACAUCCAGUGAAUCAACCUGUUGUCCAGACAUAUAGCUAUGAUGAUCCAGACAUGCUCAACCAGUUGCCAUCUGUCCGUCCUGUACGCCAGCCUGGUGUUCACCUAGAUGUACAAGUAACACGAGGUACCAUGACCAAAGCCAUAGAUUUUUAAAAACUUUUACAGAUGCCCUCCUGCUACAAAUGCACCUACACAAAUGCUUAUGCUUGGGAGGAAAUCCUCAGAAAGCCCUAUUAUGGUGGUACAGAUGGUACAAGGAAAGAAACCAGUCCAGAUGAAUUGGCACGACUGAUGGCCCUUGUAAUGUUUUGUGGUCUUGUCCCAGUCAGUUCUUUUUACAGAUACUGGAGCCCCAAAACCAUGUACCAUGGCCUGUGGGCACGCAGCAUAAUGUCAAGAGACCGGUUCAAAGCAUUGAUGCCAAUGCUCCAUGUUGUAGAUACUGGUGCUGAAGAUGAGCGUGAUAAACUGUGCAAAAUCACUGGCCUGUUAGAGACUUUCAAGGUGACGUGUAGUAAAGCACUUUACCAACCAUUCCAGCAUGUUGCUGUGGAUGAAAGAAUCAAAACAUAGUUUAUGCUUCUAUACAAAACCCUGGGGAAUUUGUCACUGAUCAUAUUCCUUACUGGUACGGGUACUGUUUAUAGUGAUUGACAAGAGAUUAUUGUUUAUUGCACAUGAAAGCAGGAGGCACUUUCCAUUACCAUUGAUCUGACAUUGAGUGUUCAUUCACUAUUGAUUGUUUAUUGGAAAUGCACUUACCAAUGAAUUUACAUUUAUUGUUGACCAUAAAUAAGACAUUUUUUUAGAUUUUAUUGAUUGCCUGUUCAUAACAUGCUUUUUCAUCCUAAAUAAGAAGCACUUUUUUAGUUGAUGGUUGACUUUUUGUCCAUUGCUGCUUAUGUUUAUUGAUUGUUAUUUUUCGUGACUUGAUAAGUGCACUUCUUUAUUGAGUUACCACAUCUAAAAAAAAAAUGACUGAAGCAAUAUGAUUUGUAAUAAUU